GUGAGGAAUUUUCCGCAAUGGGCGAAAGCCUGACGGAGCAACGCCGCGUGAAGGAUGAAGGCCUAUGGGUUGUAAACUUCUUUUCUCAGAAAAGAAUUAUGACGGUAUCUGAGGAAUAAGCAUCGGCUAACUCUGUGCCAGCAGCCGCGGUAAGACAGAGGAUGCAAGCGUUAUCCGGAAUGCUUGGGCGUAAAGCGUCUGUAGGUUGUUUAAAAAGUAUUCUGUCAAAGAUUAGGGCUUAACCCUAGAUAGGCAGAAUAAACUUUUAAGCUAGAGUUUGGUAGAGGCAGAGGGAAUUCCCGGUGGAGCGGUGAAAUGCGUAGAUAUCGGGAGGAACACCAAAGGCGAAGGCACUCUGCUGGGCCAAUACUAACACUGAGAGACGAAAGCGAGGGGAGCAAAUGGGAUUAGAAACCCUAGUAGUCC
This 426-nucleotide ribosomal RNA is filed under the name uncultured bacterium. Its description in RNAcentral is "partial 16S ribosomal RNA". It matches the Rfam family "Bacterial small subunit ribosomal RNA", at positions 354 to 796 of the family's 1533-position model. The record is from RNAcentral.